This 390-nucleotide unclassified non-coding RNA is filed under the name soil metagenome. RNAcentral's name for it is "partial contains 5.8S ribosomal RNA, internal transcribed spacer 2, and large subunit ribosomal RNA". The stretch from base 1 to 122 matches the Rfam family "5.8S ribosomal RNA", at positions 35 to 154 of the family's 154-position model. The record is from RNAcentral.
GAUGAAGAACGUAGUGAAAUGCGAUACUUGGUGUGAAUUGCAGAAUCCCGUGAACCAUCGAGUCUUUGAACGCAAGUUGCGCCCGAAGCCAUUAGGCCGAGGGCACGCCUGCCUGGGCGUCACACGUCGUUGCCCCCCCAUCUACUCCUUCGGGAUUGCGGGGGGCGGAUGAUGGCCUCCCGUGCGCCUCGUCGCGCGGUUGGCAUAAAUGCCAAGUCCUCGGCGACACACGCCACGACAAUCGGUGGUUGCGAAACCUCGGUUGCCCGUCGUGUGCGGUCGUCGCGCAUCGAGGGCUCGAAAAAAUUGCCGGGCUCCGGCUCGGCUUUCAACGCGACCCCAGGUCAGGCGGGGUUACCCGCUGAAUUUAAGCAUAUCAAUAAGCGGGGA